Molecule: non-coding RNA, 140 nt
Organism: Rhinocladiella mackenziei CBS 650.93
Lineage: Eukaryota; Fungi; Ascomycota; Eurotiomycetes; Chaetothyriales; Herpotrichiellaceae
Source: the annotation of a RefSeq genome assembly
GCUCAAUUGGUCUAGUGGUAUGAUUCUCGCUGUAUGUAUCAAAUCAUUUCUACCGCCUUUGUGCACGACUCACACCUAAAUAGUAGGGCUUACUCUAAGCAAAAUGCGAGAGGUCCCAGGUUCGAACCCUGGAUUGGGCC